AAAUUUUAACAAUUUCAAUCUAAUAAGAAUCAAUAUCGGAUCGUUUCGAAGAUUUUAUAUCGAAUUCUUUGAACAAAAAAUAACACAAUUUCUUGUUAAAUAUUUUGUAUCUUUUAAAUUAAUGUAUUUCCUAUUUGUAUAUUUUAUAUUCAAUAUAUUUGGUUUUGAUAUAAAUUAGAAAAUCCGUUUAAAUAAUUAUUAAAAUUUGAAUCCCGAAGAUAUUUAUGUGAUUUUUUAUAAUUUAAAGAUUGUUGUUGAGAUUUUUUAGUGUCUAUUUUUUGUUGCAUUUAUUUGUUUGCAAGGUCUAUCAUAAUUAAGGUGAAGUUACAAAAAGAUCUGUAAAGUAUAAUAUCGUUCACAUAUUGAUUAUAGAAUUAUUUAGAUUAUUUUUAAAAAGGAAAAAAUUACAACAUAUGCCAUAUUUUUUCCAAUCCUUAUGCAAUCUGCCAUAAUUUGCUGGGCCUUACAACUCAUGUCAUAUUUCAUACUGAAAUAUCGAUUUUGUCCCUCUCCAUUUCUUCUCUAUUUUAUCUCUCCUUCCUUGAAAUCUGUGCGCUUUAACCAUAUAUUAUUAUCUUCCCGAAGAUGAAGCGCUUUUGUCACUCUCUCACUUUCUUUGACAACCUGCACAGAUUCUUUACAUGUAACUUUCAAUUAAAUUUGUCUCUCAAUUUUAUUCAUCACAAUAUUUCUGUUGUAUCUAGAUCUUGUCCUUGAUUUCAUCAUUUUUUACCAUCUAUUUUGGUCCACAGAUUAGUUGAGCAUUAUUGUUUUCACCGACACGAUUUUUUUUUCUUCUAUUGUAAAACAACAAAAAUAUUCAGUUAUUACAUAUUAUCUUGUCUAUCAUUCGAUCUGACUUUGUCCCCGAUCCAAUUCUAUUACUCAUUCGAUAUGAACUUGUCCCGAUAUAACAUAUUAUUAAAAUAUGUUAACGUGUAGGUGAAGACAAUAACGCUCAACUAAUCUGUGGAUCAAAAUAGAUCGCAAAAAUUUAAAUAAAAUUCAAAAU
This 1012-nucleotide small RNA is filed under the name Arabidopsis thaliana (thale cress). Its description in RNAcentral is "ATSL211890". Lineage: Eukaryota; Viridiplantae; Streptophyta; Magnoliopsida; Brassicales; Brassicaceae. The record is from RNAcentral.